RNAcentral lists this transfer RNA (81 nucleotides) under Paragonimus heterotremus. Its description in RNAcentral is "tRNA-Ala". Lineage: Eukaryota; Metazoa; Platyhelminthes; Trematoda; Plagiorchiida; Troglotrematidae. The record is from RNAcentral.
GGCUUCGUAGCUCAGCUGGUAGAUCAUUUGCGGCGUUUUGGCAUGGUGUUUCUGUCGCUCGUUCGAAUCCAGCCGAAGUCC